AAAUCAAGUCGUGUUACCUUUAGAGAGUCGGAGGCACUAACAGGGCUGUGAUGUCCUUAGAUGUUCUGGGCCGCACGCGCACUACACUGAUGAAGUCAUCGAGUUCAUUUCCUUUAUCGGAAGAUAUGGGUAAUCUUUUGAAACUUCAUCGUGCUGGGGAUAGAGCAUUGCAACUAUUGCUCUUGAACGAGGAAUCCCUAGUAAGUACAAGUCACUAGCUUGUGCUGAUUACGUCCCUGCCCUUUGUACACACCGCCCGUCGCUACUACCGAUUGAAUGGCUUAGUGAGGCCUUCGGAUUGAAAUUCGGAGACUGGCAACAGACUCUUGGUUUUGAAAAGUUGGACAAACUUGGUCAUUUAGAGGAAGUA
This 370-nucleotide ribosomal RNA is filed under the name uncultured Glomus. RNAcentral's name for it is "SSU rRNA". It matches the Rfam family "Eukaryotic small subunit ribosomal RNA", at positions 1417 to 1784 of the family's 1831-position model. The record is from RNAcentral. Lineage: Eukaryota; Fungi; Glomeromycota; Glomeromycetes; Glomerales; Glomeraceae.